Molecule: transfer RNA, 74 nt
Filed under: Chlorobiota bacterium
Lineage: Bacteria; Pseudomonadati; Chlorobiota
Description: tRNA-Ser
Rfam family: tRNA
About the family: Transfer RNA (tRNA) molecules are approximately 80 nucleotides in length. Their secondary structure includes four short double-helical elements and three loops (D, anti-codon, and T loops).
Source: RNAcentral
GCCCCUGUAGUUCAAUCGGAUAGAACAGCGGUCUACUAAACCGCAAGUUAAACGUUCGAGCCGUUUCAGGGGCA